AACUAACAAGGAUUCCCUUAGUAACGGCGAGUGAACCGGGAAAAGCUCAAAUUUGUAAUCUGGCUGUCUUCGAUAGUCCGAGUUGUAAUCUAUAGACGUGUUUUCCGUGCUGGACCGUAUCUAAGUCCCUUGGAACAGGGUAUCAAAGAGGGUGACAAUCCCGUGCUUGAUACGACCACCAGUGCUCUGUGAUACACGCUCUACGAGUCGAGUUGUUUGGGAAUGCAGCUCAAAAUGGGUGGUAAAUUCCAUCUAAAGCUAAAUAUUGGCGAGAGACCGAUAGCGAACAAGUACCGUGAGGGAAAGAUGAAAAGCACUUUGGAAAGAGAGUUAAACAGUACGUGAAAUUGUUGAAAGGGAAACGAUUGAAGUCAGUCGUGUUCUUUGGAUUCAGCUAGUUCUUCUAGUCUACUUCCUUUGAACGGGUCAACAUCAGUUUUGUCCGGUGGAUAAAGAUAGUAGGAAUGUAGCUCCCUCGGGAGUGUUAUAGACUAUUAUUGCAUGCACUGGGUGAGACUGAGGACUGCAGCUCGCCUUUUGGCCGGCCUUCGGGUACGUUCGAGCUUAGGAUGUUG
Molecule: ribosomal RNA, 575 nt
Filed under: Cutaneotrichosporon moniliiforme
Lineage: Eukaryota; Fungi; Basidiomycota; Tremellomycetes; Trichosporonales; Trichosporonaceae
Description: eukaryotic LSU rRNA
Rfam family: Eukaryotic large subunit ribosomal RNA
Source: RNAcentral